ACCGUGUUCCAACGCUGGCUCUGCCGACCAUGGCGGCGGUUCGCCUCGGCCUGACUGUUUUUGGCCAAUUUUGGCCUGUUUUGGCCUGUUUUACAUGUAUCCCUGCAGAAAAACACGUUAGGGGUCUCGGUUGGUCAAAAAAUUAAAAAAAAAAAAAACAAACUUACCGGCAGGGGGUCUCCUGGUGCGGUGGCUCUGCCAGUCGUCCUUCACAACUGGGGUUCCUUCUUCGGCUAACUUGCAUAAAAAAGGACGAUGAACACAAUGAUCGAAAAAUCGUAUGAAAUGAAAAGCAGGAAGGGGCUCAUCAGAGAGAUUUUUAAGUU
This 326-nucleotide long non-coding RNA is filed under the name Carica papaya (papaya). Its description in RNAcentral is "long non-coding RNA (CPAP_LNC013778)". The record is from RNAcentral. Lineage: Eukaryota; Viridiplantae; Streptophyta; Magnoliopsida; Brassicales; Caricaceae.